AAAAAAUGUCGCAAUACACCAUUCAACCUUCCAUAAACAACAGCGUAGAAAGAAAACCAUCUUCUGUAAAUUCACUCGACCAACAAUAAUUUUCUUUUUCUUAAAAGAUAAAAGUAAAGACGAAGAAUUCAGCGGUGUUGAUGAGGGGUUUACGGAGGUUGAUAGCAGGGCAUCUUCUUCGCCGGAGAUCGGAACCCUACAUCCACAACGGUGCUUCACGCCGUCUAUUAUCCGUUUCAUAUUCGAAUAAUGUUAUCUCUCGUUUCACUUCUCCAGCUUCUACAUCUGUUGUUUCUUCUUCGUACGCGUCAUCUGGAUUAUGCAAUUUUUUAGGGCAGAGGAGGACCAUGUUUAUCGAAACACAAUCCACUCCGAACCCGUUAUCCUUAAUGUUUUAUCCCGGGAAGCCCGUGAUGGAAGUCGGGAGUGCAGACUUCCCAAACGCUCGUACGGCUAUGGGUUCACCACUAGCAAAGACCCUCUACGAAGUCGACGGAAUUACUCGCGUGUUCUUCGGUUCAGAUUUUGUAACCGUAACAAAGUCAGAAGACGUUUCUUGGGAUCUUCUAAAACCUGAAAUAUUUGCAGCAAUUAUGGAGUUUUACUCAUCAGGGAAGCCGCUGUUUCUGGACUCUGCUACUUCUGCUUCUACGGACACAGCUAUUCACGAAGAUGACUCCGAAACUGUUGCAAUGAUUAAAGAAUUGCUGGAAACUCGUAUACGACCUGCUGUACAGGAUGAUGGUGGGGAUAUUGAGUACAUUGGAUUUGACCCAGAAUCUGGAGUUGUGAAGCUAAAAAUGCAAGGAGCAUGUAGCGGGUGUCCUAGCUCAUCUGUCACUCUGAAAUCAGGCAUCGAGAAUAUGUUGAUGCAUUAUGUGCCAGAGGUUAAAGCUGUGGAGCAGGAGUUUGAUAUUGAAGAUGAAGAAUGAAGAUGAUAAUGGAGAUCCUCGAGCCAACUGGACUAAGUUCAUGUGUCGCAGGGUUCUCGAGAUCAUUGGAGAUGGAAUCUUGAUUUUAAGGCUGGACUAAAUAAAUGGUAUGCUAAAGCUUUUGAGGGAGUUGUAUUCAUGGCAGGCAGCAAGGUGAGAAGAUGGUUUGAUCAUGAGGAGGAGCAUCGAAUGGAUUGCAGGUCCGUCUGAUACUGCUGGCAAUUAAUUAGUUUAGCUUAUUUAUCUUCUUUGGUGCUAUUAGAUGUUGCUUUUGUGACCUGAUCAAGUCUCUCCCUUAGGAUACAUGUAAUGAGUUAUUGCUCUCCCUUUGAGGUUUUGAUUAUAAACUUUGCUUUGCAUUUUAUAAAAGAACUACAACAUACUGAAACUAAAAAAGAUAUAAAAAAGCAAUUAGUAAGCAGUGACAGAGAUGAUUUGUGCUCGUUGAA
RNA transcript from Helianthus annuus (common sunflower), 1381 nucleotides. It is a transcript of the gene named nifU-like protein 4, mitochondrial, with no coding region annotated. NCBI's taxonomy places the organism in Eukaryota, Viridiplantae, Streptophyta, Magnoliopsida, Asterales, Asteraceae. The transcript has 8 exons. The record is from RefSeq and is a predicted model, not a curated record.